This 253-nucleotide ribosomal RNA is filed under the name uncultured bacterium. RNAcentral describes it as "partial 16S ribosomal RNA". It matches the Rfam family "Bacterial small subunit ribosomal RNA", at positions 524 to 776 of the family's 1533-position model. The record is from RNAcentral.
GACGUAGGGCGCGAGCGUUGUCCGGAAUUAUUGGGCGUAAAGAGUUCGUAGGCGGUUUGUUGCGUCGGCUGUGAAAUCCCGAGGCUCAACCUCGGGUCUGCAGUCGAUACGAGCAAACUAGAGUGUUGCAGGGGAGACUGGAAUUCCUGGUGUAGCGGUGAAAUGCGCAGAUAUCAGGAGGAACACCAGCGGCGAAGGCGGCGCUCUGGGCUGGAACUGACGCUGAGGAGCGAAAGCGUGGGGAGCGAACAGG